This 547-nucleotide ribosomal RNA is filed under the name uncultured bacterium. Its description in RNAcentral is "bacterial SSU rRNA". It matches the Rfam family "Bacterial small subunit ribosomal RNA", at positions 777 to 1322 of the family's 1533-position model. The record is from RNAcentral.
AAUAGAUACCCCGGUAGUCCACCCCGUAAACGUUGGGAACUAGUUGUGGGGUCCUUUCCACGGAUUCCGUGACGCAGCUAACGCAUUAAGUUCCCCGCCUGGGGAGUACGGCCGCAAGGCUAAAACUCAAAGGAAUUGACGGGGACCCGCACAAGCGGCGGAGCAUGCGGAUUAAUUCGAUGCAACGCGAAGAACCUUACCAAGGCUUGACAUACACCAGAACACCCUAGAAAUAGGGGACUCUUUGGACACUGGUGAACAGGUGGUGCAUGGUUGUCGUCAGCUCGUGUCGUGAGAUGUUGGGUUAAGUCCCGCAACGAGCGCAACCCUCGUUCUAUGUUGCCAGCACGUAAUGGUGGGAACUCAUGGGAUACUGCCGGGGUCAACUCGGAGGAAGGUGGGGAUGACGUCAAAUCAUCAUGCCCCUUAUGUCUUGGGCUUCACGCAUGCUACAAUGGCCGGUACAAAGGGCUGCAAUACCGUGAGGUGGAGCGAAUCCCAAAAAGCCGGUCCCAGUUCGGAUUGAGGUCUGCAACUCGACCUCAUG